UUGAAUUUAGUAAACAAACAAAUUAUAUCUUAUUUUUAAUGAAAAAAGUUAAUCUUAU
RNAcentral lists this transfer RNA (58 nucleotides) under Panagrellus redivivus. RNAcentral's name for it is "tRNA-Lys". The record is from RNAcentral. Lineage: Eukaryota; Metazoa; Nematoda; Chromadorea; Rhabditida; Panagrolaimidae.